This 305-nucleotide ribosomal RNA is filed under the name uncultured bacterium. RNAcentral's name for it is "bacterial SSU rRNA". It matches the Rfam family "Bacterial small subunit ribosomal RNA", at positions 333 to 652 of the family's 1533-position model. The record is from RNAcentral.
CUUUCCCUACGGGAGGCAGCAGCAGUGGGGGACAUUGCACAAUGGGGGGAACCCUGAUGCAGCGACGCCGCGUGGGUGAAGGAGCGUUUCGGCGCGUAAAGCCCUAUCGGCAGGGAAGAAGAUGACGGUACCUGACCAAGAAGCCCCGGCUAACUACGUGCCAGCAGCCGCGGUAAUACGUAGGGGGCAAGCGUUAUCCGGAUUUACUGGGUGUAAAGGGGGCGCAGACGGCAAUGCAAGCCAGGAGUGAAAGCCCGGGGCCCAACCCCGGGACUGCUCUUGGAACUGCAUGGCUGGAGGACAGG